This 243-nucleotide RNase P RNA is filed under the name Spirochaetales bacterium. RNAcentral's name for it is "partial RNase P RNA component class A". It matches the Rfam family "Bacterial RNase P class A", at positions 152 to 367 of the family's 367-position model. From Rfam's summary of the family: Ribonuclease P (RNase P) is a ubiquitous endoribonuclease, found in archaea, bacteria and eukarya as well as chloroplasts and mitochondria. Its best characterised activity is the generation of mature 5'-ends of tRNAs by cleaving the 5'-leader elements of precursor-tRNAs. The record is from RNAcentral. Lineage: Bacteria; Pseudomonadati; Spirochaetota; Spirochaetia; Spirochaetales.
GGGUGAAAAGGCGAGGUAAGAGCUCACCGCAUCCCCGGUAACGGGGAUGGCACGGCAAACCUCAUCGCGAGCAAGGUCGAACAGCGAUGGAUUACCCGUCCAACCCACACCGCAAGGUGUGGAGAAAUCGCGGGUGGACUGCUUGAUCGAACUGGCAACAGUUCGACAAGAGAGAUGGCGAUCGCUUCCUGAGGGCAACACCCUCUGGAAGUACAGAACCCGGCUUACAGGCCCGCCUUUUUU